RNAcentral lists this transfer RNA (66 nucleotides) under Laevipilina antarctica. RNAcentral's name for it is "tRNA-Leu". The record is from RNAcentral. Lineage: Eukaryota; Metazoa; Mollusca; Monoplacophora; Tryblidiida; Neopilinidae.
AGCUUAGUUGGCAGAAUAAUGCACCUGACUUAGAAUCAGCCUAUGGUAAAUUACUAACCACUCAGC